Long non-coding RNA from Bradysia coprophila, 136 nucleotides. NCBI's taxonomy places the organism in Eukaryota, Metazoa, Arthropoda, Insecta, Diptera, Sciaridae. The record is from RefSeq and is a predicted model, not a curated record.
UAAUUUAUAAGCAGUUUGAGAGCGCUCACCCUUGGCAAACUUCUAGCCUACAUGUGUGCGCAAAAAUAUUCGUUUUUUGAUGAUUUCUCUGAACCAAAAACUUUUUCUGAAAAAGUAAAACCAUUAAAGCACAUUU